This 833-nucleotide ribosomal RNA is filed under the name uncultured bacterium. RNAcentral describes it as "SSU rRNA". It matches the Rfam family "Bacterial small subunit ribosomal RNA", at positions 60 to 889 of the family's 1533-position model. The record is from RNAcentral.
AGUCGAGGGGCAGCAUGAAGUAGCAAUACUUUGAUGGCGACCGGCAAACGGGUGCGGAACACGUACACAACCUUCCUUUUAGUGGGGAAUAGCCCAGAGAAAUUUGGAUUAAUACCCCGUAACAUAACUGAGUGGCAUCACUUGGUUAUUAUAGCUUCGGCGCUAAAUGAUGGGUGUGCGUAUGAUUAGAUAGUUGGCGAGGUAACGGCUCACCAAGUCUACGAUCAUUAGCUGAUGUGAGAGCAUGAUCAGCCACACGGGCACUGAGACACGGGCCCGACUCCUACGGGAGGCAGCAGUAAGGAAUAUUGGUCAAUGGACGCAAGUCUGAACCAGCUAUGCCGCGUGAAGGAUUAAGGUCCUCUGGAUUGUAAACUUCUUUUAUCUGGGACGAAAAAAGGUCUUUCUAGACCCCUUGACGGUACCAGAUGAAUAAGCACCGGCUAACUCCGUGCCAGCAGCCGCGGUAAUACGGAGGGUGCAAGCGUUAUCCGGAUUCACUGGGUUUAAAGGGUGCGUAGGCGGGUAGGUAAGUCAGUGGUGAAAUCCUGGAGCUCAACUCCAGAACUGCCAUUGAUACUAUCUAUCUUGAAUAUUGUGGAGGUAAGCGGAAUAUGUCAUGUAGCGGUGAAAUGCUUAGAUAUGACAUAGAACACCCAUUGCGAAGGCAGCUUACUACGCAUAUAUUGACGCUGAGGCACGAAAGCGUGGGGAUCAAACAGGAUUAGAUACCCUGGUAGUCCACGCCCUAAACGAUGGAUACUCGACAUACGCGAUACACUGUGUGUGUCUGAGCGAAAGCAUUAAGUAUCCCACCUGGGAAGUACGUUCGC